UUUUAUUAUUGAUAUCAGGCUUGCAACCAAGUAACCAAAAAUGAUAUGGAAAAUGAUAUUAGCAUUACUACAUAAAGAUGUUUGAGCUUCUGCAUUCUCCAUUCAGCCUGUCAAUCCUCCGUAUUCUCUCAAUUUGCAUCUGCACACCUGUCUACCUAACCUCUCCUGACCUAUAUGACCUCUCCUGACCUAUAUGACCUCUCCAGACGUAUAUAAACUCUCCUGACCUAUAUCACCUGAACUACCUGACAAACUGUCCUGAUUUAUAUAACCUGUCCUGAUUUAUAUAACCUGUCCUGACCUAUAUAACCUGUCCUGAUUUAUAUAACCUGUCCUGAUUUAUAUAACCUGUCCUGACCUAAAUAACCUGUCCUGAUUUAUAUAAACUGUCCUGAUUUAUAUAACCUGUCCUGACCUAAAUAACCUGUCCUGAUUUAUAUAACCUGUCCUGACCUAUAUAACCUGUCCUGGUUUAAAUAACCUGUCCUGACCUAAAUAACCUGUCCUGAUCUAUAUAACCUCUCCUGAUCUAUAUAACCUGUCUUGAUUUAUAUAACCUGUCCUGAUCUAUUCAUUUCAUUGGAUGCAAUAAUAGUAUAGACAUACAAAGUCUACAGUGCUGAAGAUGAUGACAUCAUCUAAAUAGAGCUAUGUGAAGAAUGUUCUGCAUUAUAUUUACAGAAAAUGCCUAUGAUAUUUGUGCAGUAAUAGUGAAAAUAUAGCAUUUAGAAACAAUGUUUUGGGUCCAUACAAAAUUACAUUUUGAUCUGAUUAGACUCUUGUUGUCAAGUUGGAAAGCGGGCAAUUCGUCUGUCACUUCCUGGUGGAUUUCUACUACAAAGUUUAGUCAAUUUCUGUUCAUGUGAGAAAACAAGCAAUAUAUAGGGCAGGGAACCAUUGUGCCAUAAAAAAUAUAGUUUUUACAGCUUUUUAAAGCAGGUGGACAGAAGUGAAUGUAAAACACUGAAGUGUCAGGUGACAACGUUAUUCCAAACGGCAACUGAUGUUGCCGCAAGUCACCAAGCUUGGACAUGGGGAAUCAUUUCUACACACAGCUCGUUUCAGACGCCAACAGUCAGCUUAGGCAGGAGUCCUGAUGUGGAUGGCUGGAGAGGCAUCGGGCAGACAUCCACUAGUCCGGAGGAGGACAGGCCCAUGACGGGGGCAGGUGGGUCACAUGGGGUAGAACUGUGAGGCCGCCUCCGAUGACUGGAUCUCCACCUGGGCCAUCUUGAACUGGGUGCACUGCAGCCACUUGCGCAGGGCGAAGGGCAGGGCACCGGCUGCCUGACCCUGUACACACUGGUGGUUCUGGUGGUUGACCCGGUUCUGGAUGGCCUGCAGACGCAGCUGGAGCCCCGCAGAAAGGUGCUGCAUGGGACAGUGGUGGGACACGGGAGACAGGUUAUGGGACAGUGGUGGGACAUGGAAGACAGGUUAUGGGACAGUGGUGGGACAUGGAAGACAGGUUAUGGGACAGUGGUGGGACACGGGAGACAGGUUAUGGGACAGUGGUGGGACAUGGAAGACAGGUUAUGGGACAGUGGUGGGACAUGGAAGACAGGUUAUGGGACAGUGGUGGGACAUGGAAGACAGGUUAUGUAACUUCAUUGUGUAGGGUUAUUCAGAAUUUGAAACAAUCAGUCUUCUUACCUUUAAAUUUGACUGAAUCAUGGGCAACCACAUGGGAAUUAGCUGAUGGAGAGAGGAGAUUAAUUAUUUCGUAACUAGCAAACACAAAUAGUCAAAUUGUUUUGCGUAAAUUCAUGGCAAAUGACAUACAUGUUUGGGGAAAUGCCCACGUACCUUCACGAAGAUGGUUGAGUUGCAUUCUUGUAGUGCCUCCAUCAGGCUGAUAACAUGAAGACAAACCAUCUCCACCAUC
Long non-coding RNA from Esox lucius (northern pike), 1885 nucleotides. NCBI's taxonomy places the organism in Eukaryota, Metazoa, Chordata, Actinopteri, Esociformes, Esocidae. The record is from Ensembl.